This 61-nucleotide transfer RNA is filed under the name Ictidomys tridecemlineatus (thirteen-lined ground squirrel). RNAcentral describes it as "Spermophilus tridecemlineatus (thirteen-lined ground squirrel) tRNA". It matches the Rfam family "tRNA", at positions 6 to 65 of the family's 71-position model. Rfam says of the family: Transfer RNA (tRNA) molecules are approximately 80 nucleotides in length. Their secondary structure includes four short double-helical elements and three loops (D, anti-codon, and T loops). Lineage: Eukaryota; Metazoa; Chordata; Mammalia; Rodentia; Sciuridae. The record is from Rfam by way of RNAcentral.
UGUAGCUCAGUGGUAGAGCAUUUACCUUUCAUGUGUGAAGUACUGGGUUCAAGUCUCAGCA